AAAAGUGCAAAAAAGAGUGAUUUGUUACUAGAAUAAGCUUAAAGCACAGAUUCUUCUUUUCUGCUGCACAAUAGUGUCUAGUUCAGGGGUCUGCAACCUGCUGCUCCAGAGCUCCAUGUGACUAUUUUACCCCUCUAUAGUGACUCUCGGGUUAAAGAAAAAUCGAAAACUGAAAGUAGUGAAGAAAAAAAAGAAAAUGAAGCAGAAUAAAAUCUAACUUUAUUUAACUUUUUCGCAUGGAACUGAAGAACAGUGCAUAUCACAAGUAGAACUAAAACAUUUUGGUAGAUAUUUGUGCGCCGUGUACCACAGAAGAUCAACUGGAAGUCAAUAAUAACCAGAACUCAGGUGUACCAGAUUAUAAACCAGAUUUUCUAUUUUUAAACAAAUUCAAGGAUUUUAAGUGGUUCAAAAAAUCUCAAUAGGGUCACACAAUUAGCUCUGAUUUAAUUUUGGAUUGUUUGAUUUUCACAUUUCUGGCUGAGACGGUAAAAUAAAUUGUGUUUUGUAUUUUUUUAAUCACUGCUGACAUCACACUACCUACUACUAUAUUUGCUGCCUUGAGAUCUUAUGUGACAUAGGGUGUCUUAUUUUGAAAGGAAGUCAUGUGAACCUCUGUCAAAAGUUAUAAACUUUUUUUAUUUUCACUUUUUUCACGUUUUUUUAUGCUAAAAAAGCAGUAGUGUAUAUUAAUUUAUCAUAAUAAGAAAAACAUAAACAAAAUUCGGUGUGUUGUUUUUUAAGGGUCAAGUCAGUGUGGCAGGAUUAAUUGGCUCAGGUGCUGUAGGGCAGAGGAUUACUAGCAGUGGCCUCAUGGGGCGCUAUAAAGGGCAAAGAAGCCUUCACUCGGCCAGGGGCAGCAUUUGGCCAUUGGAACCGCCCACUUCCUGUUUUCACACCUCCGGCUAGCCUCACAGCUCCGGAUGAGACCUGCAGGCACAGAUUGAGCAAAAUACAGCCUCUGCAAUCGAGCGCGCCUCCCAGGUGACGAACAGUCUGUCUGCGCCGGGGACUUUCUGACGCUCCCACCUGCUGAACAGCUGCUGCUUUUUAUAUAUUGAAUUUUAGAAUUAUUUUAAGGAACUGUCACCGCUCGUGAUCAGAAUCCCUGUAGACUCCUGACCAGGGUUCUGCCGGGCCCGGGUGCUCCUCAGCUGCCUUUGAGCCUGAGCAACGGAGGACUAACGGGGCGUCACGCCUGAAUCCUCCACCAACGAGAAUAAAAGCUCGGCCGCGCUCCGUUCAUUGAGCAGCACCCUACGGGCGGACUUACUCUCACGAGAGUUUCUUUUAUUUUGUUUUUAGCAUUUUUACACAAUUCUUUUAGACCUGUGUUUUAACUGGAUUUUAUUGUGUGAUCCACCUUUGUUUCCCCCCUCCCUCAGUGCUGAGGACUCAGGUGCCAGCCCAGAAUUCUAGGUGGAGGCUAUCCCCCCAGUUUGGAGUGACGUGUCCUUGGGUGAAGGUUUCACAGUGUGUGUGUGGUCUGCAUCACAAGCAGCAGCUGGUUCCGCUUGGAAGUGAGGAAGGUGAUUUGUGCAAGUGCUGAGGACUCAGGUGCCAGCCCAGAAUUCUAGGUGGAGGCUAUCCCCCCAGUUUGGAGUGACGUGUCCUUGGGUGAAGGUUUCACAGUGUGUGUGUGGUCUGCAUCACGUGAGUGGGGUGAAAUUUUAUCUUUGUUCUCUGGGAGCCUCCACCUCCCUUAAGUCUUCUGGUCCUCAGCAUACUGAAUUUGUUGUGUAUGUCUUUUAACGGGUCCAUUUUUAAUUGGUUUUAAUGUUUUGUAAUAAAAUCAUUUUAAUUUUUGUA
Oryzias latipes (Japanese medaka) is the source of this 1809-nucleotide long non-coding RNA. RefSeq lists it as uncharacterized. The record is from RefSeq and is a predicted model, not a curated record. NCBI's taxonomy places the organism in Eukaryota, Metazoa, Chordata, Actinopteri, Beloniformes, Adrianichthyidae.